RNAcentral lists this ribosomal RNA (468 nucleotides) under uncultured bacterium. Its description in RNAcentral is "partial 16S ribosomal RNA". It matches the Rfam family "Bacterial small subunit ribosomal RNA", at positions 28 to 507 of the family's 1533-position model. The record is from RNAcentral.
GACGAACGCUGGCGGCGUGCUUAACACAUGCAAGUCGAACGGAAGGGCCCUGCGUUUGUGGGGUUCUCGAGUGGCGAACGGGUGAGUAACACGUGAGUAACCUGCUCUUGACUUUGGGAUAACUUCAGGAAACUGGGGCUAAUACCGGAUAGGAGCUCCUGCUGCAUGGUGGGGGUUGGAAAGUUUCGGCGGUUGGGGAUGGACGCGCGGCUUAUCAGCUUGUUGGUGGGGGAGUGGCUUACCAAGGCUUUGACGGGUAGCCGGCAUGUGAGGGUGGACGGCCACCUUGGGCCUGAGAUACGGAGCAGUCUCGUACGGGAGGCAGCAGUCGGGAAUAUUGCACAAUGAGCGGAAGUCUGAUGCAGAAGCGCUGCGGGCGGGAUGACGGCCUUUGGGUUGUAAACAGCUUUAGCCUGAGACGCAGCGUGAGUGACGGUAAUGAGUGAAGAAGCACCGGCUAACUACGUG